Molecule: long non-coding RNA, 519 nt
Organism: Gadus morhua (Atlantic cod)
Lineage: Eukaryota; Metazoa; Chordata; Actinopteri; Gadiformes; Gadidae
Source: Ensembl
AUGACAAUGGAUGGUCAUGCAACAAAUAUCAGUAUGUGCACCCAACUUGGGUGCGAUUUAAAAGCAGACCCCUGUAAGCCCUUGAAGACCCAUUUCCCACAUCCAGUAACCCAUGACAAUGUUUUUGUUAUGAUGGACGCUUGCCACAUGCUGAAGCUGACACGCAAUAUGUUGCAGGCAUACAGCCCAAUUAGAAGCAUAACUGGCAGUAUCAAUUUGAAGUACAUAGUUCAGCUGAACAAUGUCCAAAAGAAAAGUGGACUACAUGCUGCCCAUCGAGUCACAGAUAAGCAUGUCUCCCUGGCUGCUCAGACUUUGAGUAACUCUGUGGCAGUGGCGCUCCACACCUUGCAGGACGUGGGCUAUGCAGAGUUCAAAGAUUGUGAGGCUACUUCUGAAUUAAUUAAGUCCUCUGUGUCUUCUGCAUCGAGUUCAGAUGCUCUGUCCUCCUGUCUGCAUCAAGUUCAUAAGAUGCUCUGUCCUGUUCCUCUCUGUCAUGGGCUUCGUCAUAAACAUUGA